Molecule: non-coding RNA, 59 nt
Filed under: unclassified sequences
Description: chromate-resist RNA
Rfam family: chrB-b RNA
Source: RNAcentral
UCGGGGCCAGGCAGAUCCCCGAUGGCUACCCGCCAAGACGGUGUCCCGUCCAAAUCUGC